Molecule: ribosomal RNA, 391 nt
Filed under: uncultured Rhizobium sp.
Lineage: Bacteria; Pseudomonadati; Pseudomonadota; Alphaproteobacteria; Hyphomicrobiales; Rhizobiaceae
Description: bacterial SSU rRNA
Rfam family: Bacterial small subunit ribosomal RNA
Source: RNAcentral
GCCCCCGCAAGGGGGAGCGGCAGACGGGUGAGUAAACGCGUGGGAAUCUACCAUUUGCUACGGAACAACUCCGGGAAACUGGAGCUAAUACCGUAUGUGCCCUAACGGGGAAAGAUUUAUCGGCAAAUGAUGAGCCCGCGUUGGAUUAGCUAGUUGGUGGGUAAAGGCUACCAAGGCGACGAUCCAUAGCUGGUCUGAGAGGAUGAUCAGCCACACUGGGACUGAGACACGGCCCAGACUCCUACGGGAGGCAGCAGUGGGGAAUAUUGGACAAUGGGCGCAAGCCUGAUCCAGCCAUGCCGCGUGAGUGAUGAAGGCCCUAGGGUUGUAAAGCUCUUUCACCGGUGAAGAUAAUGACGGUAACCGGGAAGAAGCCCCGGCUAACUUCGUG